CUCAGUGGACGAUUCCAUUCCCAUCUCACUUCUCCUAAUAUUGUCUAAUGGGCCACGCCAGUUGCAUAUUCCUGUUCUUGUAGAGUGCCUAGUGUAGAGUCCAGCCUCCUAGCUGGAGCCCCUGCCCCGGGAGUGGUACUUAGGAUGUCACGAAUGGGACAUUCCUUCCCCUCCCCACUGACAGAACUGUGAAUCAACAAGACAGCUGCAGGUCUCUGUGUCUGCAUCGAUCAUUAAAUUCUACCACCUCCCCCUCAGUGGAGGGAGACUGUUGUUCACUAUAUUCUUUGCUUUCUCCCCAGCACCUAGAACAGUGUCAGGCACAGAAUAGGCCCUCCAUUGAUGUUGGUAAGGAAAGCAUCCUUUGACCUGGCAAUUCCAUGGCCAACGGUAUGUCCUGGGAAUGCAUAGUUUGUCCUGAUCACAGUGCCUUUCUCCAUGGCGUGGUAUUAAUGGAGAGUAGCAAGAAGGAGAUGCUCAUACCUACCCAGUGAGUGUGUUUUCAUGCACGUGCAAAUGUGUGUGUGUGUGUGUGUGUUUGUUAACGUGUAUAUGUGCACACUUGGGGGCAUGUGUGUGUGCAUGCAUGUAUGUACACAGAUCUCACAUGCAUGGACUAGAAAACUUACAAUUAGUGUCAAUUAUACUCCCCAAGGAGAUCUUAUGACUCGUUGCAAUCCCUAUCAAAAUUCUAAUUACUUAUCUCCCUAAAUUAACAAAAUGGUGCUAUAAUUCUAAUGAAAUGAAAGUCUCCUGCAAAGAGGAUGUAGAGAAAAAGGAACACUUUUACACUGUUGGUGGGAUUGUAAAUUAGUGCGACUACUAUGGAAAUCACAGUGGCGGGCCCUGAAAAGACUAGGCAUGGAAAUCCCGUAUGACCCAAGUAUAUCCCUCCUUGGUAUUUUUCCUGAAUUAAAAUCAUACUACAGUGGUAUGUGCAUACCCAUGUUUAUAGCAGCACAACUCACAAUAACCAAACUAUUGAACUAGCCUAGUUGUCCAAUGGUUGAAUGGGUAAAGAAAAUGUGGUAUGUGUACUCAGUGGAGUUAAUUAUUAAGCCAUAAAGAAAAGUGAAAGUAUGUCAUUUGCAGGAAAAUGGAUGGAACUAGAGACAUUAUGUUUAGCAAAGUAAGUCAAACUCCAACCAUAAAAGGAGCUAUGUUUUCUCUUAUAUGCGGAAGCUAGAGAGGAAAAAGGAAAAGAAAGGUGGAAAUGAAAGUUUGGUCUGUACAGGAAAGGCACCAAGGAGUGGGAGGUGGGGAUGGAAGGAGGGAGUGCUUGGGGAGUGAUAUUGGCCAAAGUAUAUUGUUGUGUGCAUGUACGAGUAUGUACCAUCAAAUACCACCAUUAUGUACAAUUCUAAAGCCCUAAUAAAAAUGUAGGGGAAAAAGGCUUCCACAAUAGCCAAAACAGUCUUGAAACACAACAAAGUUGCAAGAUUCACCCUCCCUGAUUUGAAAACCUACUAUAGAUUUACUGCAUUCAAGACAGUGUGGUACUGACAUAAUUUUAGAUAGUGGCAUAAAAUGGAGUUUUCUGAAAGCCGUAUUUCUGUGGUCAACUUAUUGUUGUCAAGGAUGAAAAGUCUUUUCAGUGGAUUGUCCUGGCAUAACCUGGAUGUCCAUACACAAAGGAAUGAAUUUAGACCUGUAUGUCACACUGUCUACAAUUAAAAUGAAUUACAGACCUAAAUGUAAGACUUUAAAAUUAUCGGAAGAAAACAGAGACAUAAGUCUUCAAAAACCUUGGUUUGGGCAACAAUUUACUAGAUGUGACAUGGAUGCACAAACAACCCAAGGCAAAAUAGAUAAUGUGGCAUCACCAAAAUUUGAACUUUUAUACUUCAAAGAAUACCAUCAAGAAAGUGAAACGUCAACCCAAAAUAUAAGAAAAAAGUUUUGCAAAUCAUAUGUGAUAAAGAACUUCUACCUAUAAAACACACUCACUCACCUCUCAACUCAAUAGAAAAGAAAACCCAAUUAGAAGAUGGGCAAGGAAUCUAAAUACAGUUUGUCCAGAGAAGAUAUCCAAAUGGCUGAUAAGCACAUGAAAAGGAGCUCCAUAUCAUUAGCUUCAGGGAAAUGUGUCUAUGAGUCAGUCAUGUUGAGAUAGCACUUUAUACCUGCUAGGAUGUUUUCCAAAAAACAUGUUGGUUAAGUAUGUGAAGAAAGUGAAACCCUCAUAAGAUGCUGGUUGGAAUGUAAAAUGAUGCAGUCACUUUGGAAACAGUUCCACGAAAUUAAAUACAGAGCAUCAUGUGGCCCAGAAUUCCACUUCUUGGUACAUAUCCCCCCAAAAUGAAAACUUAUGUCCCCACAAAAACUUGUGUAUGCAUGUGAAUUGGGAAGACAACCUCAGGUCUCUCUAUAUCUAUCAGUACUAAAUUAAACCACCUCCCCCUCAGUAGAAUUGUAUAUUGUUGGCUCUAUUUCUUUCUCUUUCCCUAUCACCUAGAAUAGUGUGAGGCACAAAUUAGGCCCUCCAUUGAUAUUAGUUAGAAUUCCUAUGUCCAAAAAUGUGUAUUAGGGAAGCAAUUGAAAAUAUGUACAAUGGUAUGAAGAGGACAUUACUUGUGGGGAUAAUAAGCUUAAAUAGUUAAUGAUUGUAGUCAAGUUAAGUGAGAGAUGAAAUGUUCAUAUUGUGUGAUGUAACAUCCUCUGUACUUGAACCACAUAAAAGAACUGGUUUAUCCUGGCCAUAAUGCUUUUUUUCAUGUCAUGCUUUUAAUGGGGAUUGGUCAUUAGGAGAUGCGCGCGUGCGCACACACAAACACACACACGCACACACAAACACACACACACACACACACACACACGGGAUGCUUACAAAUGUAGAAAGCAAGGCCAACAAAAUACCUAAAGUGAUUUCAGCAGUCUCCUCUGAUGAUUAUACUGAGAGAGGCAAGAUACGGACUGUUUAUUUCAUUUUUUGAUGUAGUAGAUUGUAUUUGCCAAAAAUCAUCAAAAUAUACAAGUUUACAUGUAGUUUUCCUUUUUUAACCUUUAAUGUUAUAAAGUUAUAACUCAAGUACUGUAGUAUUCAAAAGGUUGUGAGCCAUCACAGUAACCAUUUCUAGAAUGCUAUAUUCUGAAUGAUUGAUUGUCUGCACCUAAAUUCAUAUUGAAGUUUGUUCUUAAAUGAGGCAGUAUUGGGUGCGGUGGGUCCCUUAAGAGUUAUUUAGGUGAUGGGGCUGUGUUCUCAUGAAUAGACUAAUUUUUUUUUUUAAUUUUAGGAAUGGAUUUGCUAUAGAAGAAGUUGUGUGCUUUCAUCUCUGCUACCUCACCAGAAAUCAAGAAGAUGCUGGCACGAUGCUACUAGACCUCUGAGCCAUGAACCAAAGUAAACCUUUUUGUUUGUUUACAUUAUAGUCUUAGAUAUUUUGCAAUAAGGAAUGGAUUAAAACAUAGGACCCACCCCAUACUGUUAACAUCUCUUCCCCCUUCUCUAUUCCCUUGUCAUUCAUGUAAUUAUCUUCUUUUAUUUACGGAUUUGUGGAUUCUAUGCAUUUUAUGUAAAUAGAAUCGUAUACUGGUUCCUUUUGUUUCUGGCUUCUUUCAGAUAGUAUAAUGAUUUUCAGUUUUCAUCCAUCUUGAAGUAUAUAUCAGUACUUUUAUGGCUGAAAAAUAUUUCAUUAUGUGGAUAUACUACCACAUUUGGUUUAUAUAUUCAUUAGUUGAUGGACAUUUGGGGCUGCUGAUAGUCUUUGGCUAUUAUGAAUAAUGCUGCUUUGUACAUGUAUGUACAAGUUUCUGUAAACGCAUAUUUUCAUUUCUCUUUGGUAUGUACCCAGGAGUGAAAUCACUUGAUCAUGUUUAACUUUUUGAGGAAAAGCCAAACUGUUUUCUGUAACAGCUGUACCAUUUUGCAUUCCCACCAGUUUCUCCACAUCUUUCUCAACAUGUAUUACAUGUCAUUUUUUAAAAAUGGCUUUUAAUAUAUUGGAGAAUGUAUUGCCUAAUCCAAAGUCACAAUAACUUAUUCCUAUGCUCUCUUACAGGAGUUUUAUAGUUUUAGCUCUUACCCUGGGAUUUUGAUUCAUUUUUGCUGAUUUUUGUAUACAGUAGGAUGUCAGAGUUGAAAUUCAUUCUUUUGUAUGUGGAUAUCCAAUUGUCCCAGCAACAUUUCCUGAUAAUACUCUUUUCCCACUCAAUUAUCUUGGCAUCCUUGUCAAAAAUUAAGUCACUGUGUAUGUGUGGGUUUAUCUCUGGAUUCUUUUUUAAAAAAUAUUUAUUUUUUAGUUAUAGGUGGACACAAUAUCUUAUUUUACUUUAUGUGGUGCCGAGAAUCGAACCCAGUGCCUCACACAUGCUAGGCGAGUGCUCUACCUGUGAACCACAACCCCAGCCCUCUCUGGAUUCUUAAUUCUGUUCCAUUGAUCAAUAGGUCUGUCUUUAUGCCAGUGCCACACUGUCUUGAUUACUGGAGCUUAGUAAUAAUUUCUGAAGUUCAAAAGUAUAAGUCCUUCAACCUGGUUUUCUGUUUCAAGAUUACUUAACCUGCGUUGGGUUGCUGGAAUUUCCAUAUUCAUUUUAGAAUCAGCCUGUCAAUUUCUGCAAAAACUGUAGUUGGAAUUUUGAUACAGAUUACACUGAAUAUGUAUAUCAACUUUGGAAAUAUUGUCAUUUUAUUAUUCAGUUUUCCAAUCCAUGAACUCAGAUGUCUUUCCAUUUAUUUAAGUCAUCUUUAAUGUCUUUCAACAGUGCUUUGUAAUUUUCAGUGUACAACUUUUACACCUCCUUGGUUAAAUUAAUUUCCUAUGUAUUUU
Molecule: long non-coding RNA, 4766 nt
Filed under: Marmota monax (woodchuck)
Lineage: Eukaryota; Metazoa; Chordata; Mammalia; Rodentia; Sciuridae
Source: RNAcentral